CUUCUCGUCUGUCGCCAUGUGAGAUGUACCUUUCACUUUCCUCCAUGAUUGUGAGGCCUCCUUAGCCACAUGGAACUGCCCUGGCAAUCACUAUUCCAGUCUCUGCUUCUAUGAGUUUGACUAUUUCAGAUUCCACAUGAAAUGCUGGAGUCCUUCAUCCGAAUGAAUGGCAAGGAUUGAAGACCGAAAAAAAUCAAGCGUUGAGGAGAGUGACAAAUGGGGAGACAGCCGUGGUGCAUGAUCGCCGAAUAAAUACCAUGUGAGGAUACAGCAAGAAGGUGGCCAUCUACAAGCCAAGGAGACAGGCCUCAGAAGAAACCAACCCUUCUUACACCCUGGACUCAGACUUCUAAUCUCCAGAACUUGUUAAUGCACAAGGUCUUGUGUUGAAAAUGUAGAGCCACGAGAUAAAAGCAGCUUGGAUGGCUGACUCAUAUACAAGGACAACUGCCUGAGAGUCACCAGGGCUAUCAAGAAGUUUGCAGAAACAAGAAAUAAACUUUUACUGUUUUAAACUUUUGUGAAUUUUGGGUUUUGUUUAUCACCAAAUAAACCUAGUCUAU
RNAcentral lists this long non-coding RNA (563 nucleotides) under Homo sapiens (human). Its description in RNAcentral is "PYDC2 antisense RNA 1". Lineage: Eukaryota; Metazoa; Chordata; Mammalia; Primates; Hominidae. The record is from RNAcentral.